Chrysemys picta bellii (western painted turtle) is the source of this 1877-nucleotide non-coding RNA. NCBI's taxonomy places the organism in Eukaryota, Metazoa, Chordata, Testudines, Emydidae. The record is from RefSeq and is a predicted model, not a curated record.
AAAACAGGAAUCCAAAAGAAGAAACUACCUGCUUUCCAGAGCUGCUGAGAUUCUUUGAAAGGAUGGGGAACUGCCUACCAAAAAAGAGCAGAGAAUCAUUUGCCUACUGGAGGAGGAGGAGGAGACGUCCACACCAGCACAUCUCACCUAGGAACCCCCAUCGUGGACCAAGACCCUGCUAUGGAUAAUCUUGAAGAAACAGACUUGACUCAUCCUAAUGAGAUAUGCUACGCCACCAUCAAUUAUAGCCUUAAGGAAAAACCUGCCAUGCUAAACAGCAGCAACCAUGAAACUGAAUAUGCCUUCAUCAGCAUGCCUGCCAAGAAAAUGACUUUUACCAGUCACCAGGACAAUGAAUAUGAUUUUGUCCUGAUAAGUUAGAAAACCUGCACCUCUCUUUACUGCACUAAAGGACCCUGCAUAUUCUAAGCAACUAGGAUGCUGUCUUCCAAACCAUUUUCUCAGUAACAUCAACACUUACAAUAAACCCAGGGGCAUCCCUUUAACAUAUACAGCCUAUACUUUAGGGUAGUUCUGCCAUCCACUGUUCAAGUGACUCAUUUUACCAUAAAAGAUUUAACACAAUUAAAUUUACACAACAUGCACAACAUGAUGCUGGGACUAGUUGGGUAACAAAGCAACACGAAUCAACAGUAUCUGCCCAUUGCAAGAUGGUAUAGUAGUUUAGGAGCUUCAUUAUUAGAAGCUGUUAAGGCUUUCAGUCCUCUUUGCAGAGUUUUAAAUAAUUGCACAAAUUAUUUUAGAAUAGGACUAGUGAAAAUUUCCAGUGACCCAAGUGUGGGUGAAAAUUUCAGUGACUCUGGUAAAACCUCACCGGAAUGCUUGUUUUCUUAAAUCAUAAAUCAAAGACUUAGAGUGCCCUUGCACUGGCUGAUCUUGAUGUAGGAUGGUGUGGGGACAGAGCCCUGGUGGUUAAUCUGACCAUUUGUACAGUGGUUUUACAACCUGUGACCCAGAUCUCAGAGAAGUCUUAAUGAAGUUGCAUUUGAAUGAAGAAAUAAAAUUGCAUUGCUGAUGAUUCAUGCGCAAAUAAUGGUAUAGCUAUUCAUACUCACUGCCAUCACCUAAAAGUGGAUGAAGCCUACCAGGGAACCUAAUGCUGCCUUCAAAUGCACAUGUGCUUUUCCCAUUAUUUCCAAUAGGAGCUCCGCUGGCACACAGCACUUGCAAUUCACUGCACUCCUGGCUUGCAGCACCAUAUUGCAAAUUUGGGCUGUUUGUGACAAGGGGACUGACAGCACAGCCUACAGAUGGAGUCAGAACUUCUGCCUGCAGUUUUGAAAAUGUCACCAGUCCUGGCCAGCAGGAGCCUUACCUCCAUACUAUUCCAGUCCUGGGAUUUUUCAGAGACAGACAAAUAUGACAUUUUUGAGAGGGAUAAAGGUCUACAGACUACUAGAUGAGACAGCUGAACUCAUUUUCUCUUGAAACUUCAGCGAGACUGAAACUGAGUAUUAAACAGAUUAGAAGGGUUAAUGCUGUGACACUAAGCCCCCUGUAUCCUUGCCUGGACAUUUGAAUGUCUCCGAAUUCUGUCUUUUUUCUGGUUUUGAAAUUCCCAUGUACAUAAUUGCUGACAAUACCUCCGGCAUUUGUGUGCCUAACUUCUCCCUCGCUUGCAGCUCAUUCAUCUUAAUACCAUCACAUCUCCACGCUACUCCUUUGGAAAGACAGCUAGGACUCAUGGAAACUCAGCCAGCCUUGCACAGACAUUGCUAAAGCAAUGGCAAGACAGUCUUAUCUGCAUCUGGAGUUUCUGCACACCAGCAGAGAGGAGAGCUGCAUUUAGAGCAGUGUAUAAAACGUGCUACCAUUGGUUGUUGUACAGAGGACAAUAGAGUUAUUACUAGCCAAAU